AAAUCAAGUUCAUCACUCAUCUGAGACAGAACAGUCCAUUUUUGAAUGAUAUUGAGAUAAUGAGGAACAGUAUGGGUGUAACGUAGAAUACACUGAAUGUCAGGCCUUACACGGUGGUGUAGUGACAUUGGAGGCAGAGCAGAGAGACUGAGUGGUGAGGCCAUGAGCUGUAAUGGUAUCUUCUGCAGAGCAGAGGGGUAGGGGAUGUCCUCAGUGCAACCACGCAGCGGAGUAAUGACUUCAGCUGAGUAAGGAAGCAGAGCAACCAAAGUGGAGCAGGGAGGGUGGGAGAUGAUUUUACCUAGGUUGUGAGCCCCCUCCUCAAAGAAUUUCCUGAGGGGGCACCUGGCAUUGAGCCAUUUGAGUGGCUCUGACCCAACUUCCCUUCCCCAGUAGUUCCCACAUCAGGCAAUUUUUCUCCCCUCUACAAAGGUAUGACAAAGAGUGGCCUCAAAGUCUGGGUUUAAGCAUCCGGCCUCGCAAGUGCAGGCAAUCCCAGUUAAUCAGCCUGGAGUGUUCUGGGUAACUGAGUUCCCCCACACGGCAACUCUUGCGGUGCACUGCUGCUGUCCUCUGCUGACUGUGCGAGGUGUAGCACAGCCUCUUACAACUCACUUGUGCCUUAAUACGUCUUAAAAUGCUACAAGCAACAUAUGGAGAAAUUAAGCAUUUGUUUUAAUCCUAUGUGCCAUGAUAUGGCAAUGACAAUUCCAUGGAUGCAGCAUUCUCUUUUAGUGAAACACAACACAAGUUUUAAUGCAUUAAAAAGCCCUUUUUGUUGGAAAGAAACAGAAUGGUAAUGGGUAGCUGAUUGGCCUACAGUGAGUGACACAUCAUGUGUAAGUGAGUUCUUAAAAGAGCCGGACACUGCCAGUACCAGCAGUGUGAUCCUGACUCCAGGACAGGAGUCAAAAUGGGAAAGGCACAGCUGCACAAAAGCAUUCCAAAUAGUGAGACCCCUUGCUCACAGAAACAGCACACAGGCCAGUAUACUAUUUCCCAAAGCACCAGCUCAGCCUAAAACGUCUCUUUACGUAAGUGCCUGAUGAAUGUGAAGGUGUCAGGGUUGGACUAAAGUCGGAACAAACUGAACCAGUGGACAGAGAGUAUCACAGCGCGUACUCUCAUUUAAAAAAAACAGACAUGGAAAAGCAUUAAGUAUUAAGUACGUUGGUAGUUGGGCUAUAAUGCAGAAGAGUGACACGGCACUACACACAGCCAGCUGCUAUUCCUGGGACAACACCACCGAUGGACUCUGCAUGGUCAGAUGGGAGAACUAUGCAAUAAUACAUUUUAUUUGUUGCCGCCUUUCAUAACACUCAAGGAUACCUUAUAAGAAAGACAACAUACAGAUAUAGCCGCAAGCGGUGAUUAUCGGGAUCCAAGCACAAACUGCUUGUGUACAGUUAUACGAUUGACCAUGUCUCUUUUCAAAUAUAAUACAAGUCUUUAAGUGUCUCUACAUGGAAGUGUUAUUCUAUGUACUAUAUUACAAUAUACAAAUAAUAUUGUCUUCAUUUUAGUUGGACAGCAAUGCAUUCAGUCAUGUCUAGCAACUUAACAAAUGUUUUCAGUAUUUAGGAUAAAUAAAAAUGAAGGUAUUUUGAAGAUCACAGAUUUCUUUUGCAAACGGAUUAGGCUUAGAUGGUUUUAGACUUUAUUGCACUAGACGGUAGAGUAGUGCGUAGUGUAAGUACAUAGUGUAAGUGUACAGUACUUCAUUAAGGACACUACUUUAAUAUUUACUCUCCGAAGUGUGUUUUCAGUACAGAAGUAAUGUAAUGAGUAAACGCACCGUGCAGACCAACUAAUCGAAAAUGAGAUUCGUUUCCAACGAUUUUCAUAAUCGAUUAUUAUCGAUUAGUUGUUGCAGCUCUAAAUAUAAUAUAACAUUUGCAAUCACUGUGAUGGAGAAAAUAUGGAAUGCAAAGUGCAAUCUUCUUUAUUGAUCUAUUUGUUUAUAUCCCUAUUCCAUUCAUUUCUAUGAUUUAGUCAUCUGGUGGGCGUGGUUGAGUGCGCAGGUGCGUCAUUCAAACCGAGCGAGAUGACCGUUGAGAAUCAGCGCGAGACAGCUCCUUUCAGGGUGGUUCCUACUAGGUCUGCUAAUGGGACCGCCCUCCUGACUGGCUGCCUAUAAAGUCACCCGCUCCAGCGGUGCUGAGCAGCGAGAUGUCACGGAGAAGAGUGUGUCCAGUUUGUCGGCGUUUCUACACCAACAUGCAGGCUCAUCUCGCCCAGAUUCAUCAGCAGGGUCCAGAGGAACGCUGGCUUCACCUGGCGGCAGCGAGCGAGCGGGUGAUAUGCGGGUGCUCUGGACUGCCCGGUGUCUGCAUGCGGCAGGAAAGGUUUCCGCCGGCUAGACUGCCACCUGUUCCACCUUCACCAGCUCGGCGGGGACACGGUCAGGAAGCUACUGCUCAGCGCCAAAAUAAAGCUGCUCGACAACAACUGCAAGCUUUCGGUGAGGCGAAGAAAUCUAAAAGUUGCAAAUGUUCUGAACUGAUCGAAAAGUAGCAAAACUCUCCGCAGAAUUUGAGCGGCUGCAAGCGAUAGUAGCCCGGAAAGAGUAGUGGCUCUGUGGGUGAGUACCUAAACUAGCUCUAGGCCUAUUUUUAUUGUGUGUGGGCGGCGGACUCCAGGUGGUCGCCCGGGGUGGACGUCCCAGGAUGAAAUUUGUUUUUCUUUCACUGAUCCCCCCCCCCUUUUUUUUUCUCUUUUCCAGAGCCAAUGUUAAGUGUACACGGCUUGGCUGACAAGUCUCAGAUAUGUCCCCAAAGCCGCGGCCAACGGCAAGCAGGAGAGGAGACACGUCGAGGGCUUCCUUCACUUUAUGUGGGCCAACGCAGACAGUCCCCUGGCAGCUGCUGGCUCAUUACCCAAAAACACUUAAAAUUUAACAUAGAAGCCAAUACUCACAUCAACCUCUGAACCCAGUUGGAGAUAGAAAAAAAGACACCAGCCGUGAGUGAGAAGAAGCAAGGGUCCAGAUUUAUUGUUCCGUUCCACCACACGAGAAACACACCGAUGAGAAUUCUCAGAAGUGAUCUGAUACCCUGAGCUUAAGCUCCAGUAUUUAUACUGUAAUUACACAGUAAAUAACCCAUAUGUUUCAAGAAGACUAUGAUCUCAAUACCAAUAGGGUUAAAAAAGAGCUAUUCAACUUACCAUUAGCUCAAAAAACAGGGCUUUUCAACUUACAAAUAUAAUCAAAACCAGUAGCUUGACUCAGCUACCCUUAUAAAUGGCUCCUCAUGGUUUUCUCUUAAAAUUAAGGCCUUCCUUGCGAGACAAGAAUCUUCACCAUCUGAAUUAUGAGUGCCCAUCGUCAUUCCUUCUUCUCCCCUUUACUGGAUCUGGAUCUGGACACUCAUUAUCAGCUUGCGCAUCUAACUGCUGAUAUCAUGGUGCUACUUAACUAUCUUCGCAGCACCCCCUCUGGAAAUGGAAAUGCGGGGUCCCCCCCCCGAUACAAAAUCUGCCCCGUGAACGUGUGUAUUGACGCCUCUACACAGCCAAAACCCCCCUCCAGCUUUCAGUCUGAGGAAGAUGUCACCUUCUCUGACCUGGUCCCCGACCAUUCUUCCCACUUCUCACCUGCCAGUCCGCCCCACUCUCAGUGGUCCUCUCACUUCACCUUUGCUGACUUUCCCAUGUCCCCAGGAUGCACACCAUUUUCUUCCCCCCACCACUCUCCUCAAGAUUACGCACCCACCAGUCCUGUGAAUUAUCAAUAAAACUACAUAUUACUCAUACUAAGUGUCCCUCAUGUUUAUUUCAUGUCAUUUUUAUCCACAACACAGCCCACUUGAAGUACAUCGACAAUGUCUCGAGAGUCCUUGAAUGGAUGAAAUCACUGUGCCAGCGGUACAAGGUCACUCCGGCCAAGUUAUUUCUGACGCGUGUUUCCAAGUUCCUCCAUUAACUCGAUGAGUAACUGUCCAAGGGCCGAGUUGGCUCCACGAGGCUGUGGAGUCUCCAGAGACUGCUGCAGUGGGAGUGCAGACAUCUGUCCGGUCGAGUCGUGCUCCACAGGCAAGGCGUGCGAGCGGAGAAGAGUGAGGGAGUACUUACAGCUCCUGCACGGCAAACUGUUGGACGCUGUCCCUGUUUCACUGGCUGAUCUGAACUCGUCCAGCAGACCCGGACAUGCUCAACCGUUGCAUCGGGCUGCUGUGUGCUCACUUCUUUUCGGUCAGCGGACACAGGACCGGAGUCCUGCAGAACCUCACGACUGAGGAGUUUGAGAACCUCGAGAAGGCUGACUCUUUCUGAUCAAUGUGAAGCAGCACAAACCUGCCUCCGCUUUCGGAUUCGCUAAGCUAGCCGUCACCAAGCUGGAGCUGAAGUGGCUGAAAGCUUUCUGCCACCUGAGGAAGCAUAUGCCGGGAUAUGAGACUUCUGUGGGGUGGCUUUUCUUUUCUGGCACACAGGCCAGGAUUUCUGCGCAUGUCAAGCUUGCCCUGCGGGCACUCGUGGGAAGAGACAUCACUGUGUCGGACAUCCGCACAGCUCUAGCAACCUACUGCGAACGCAAAAGACGAACAACGCAUGCUCGUGACCAAGACGAUGUGCUACAGCAAUUAGCUGAGUCGUGGAGCUGUCGGUCAGCGAGGCGCACUCCGCCCAGUCUGCGCUAGAGUCCGCUGCGGGCAUAGGUGCUACAUAGGCCGGUUGUUUUUGGCUAAUGGCCCUGUGUGUGUGUGUGUGUGUGUGUGUGUGUGCAAAUAUUUC
Long non-coding RNA from Ictalurus punctatus (channel catfish), 4731 nucleotides. RefSeq lists it as uncharacterized. The transcript is spliced from 5 exons. The record is from RefSeq and is a predicted model, not a curated record. NCBI's taxonomy places the organism in Eukaryota, Metazoa, Chordata, Actinopteri, Siluriformes, Ictaluridae.